Molecule: long non-coding RNA, 245 nt
Filed under: Elaeis guineensis (African oil palm)
Lineage: Eukaryota; Viridiplantae; Streptophyta; Magnoliopsida; Arecales; Arecaceae
Description: long non-coding RNA (EGUI_LNC037073)
Source: RNAcentral
GCUGGCUAGGUCUCUACGAAGAGACAUUGAAGAUUGGGUUAAGGCUUCCACUUCAUCUCUUUAUUAUCCAAAUCUUCAGGCAUUAUAGCAUUAUUCUGACUCUCCUAGAUCCAAAUGCUUAGAAGUUCUAUCCCAUUGGUUUUUUCGGCCGCUACUAUGCUGCUGGAAAAAAUAAUGUUUCAAUAGCAAUUUUUGUCAGAAUUUAGUAGUAUUUUUUCUUAGCUAUAGAAACUUUCACUAGCGGU